GCAAGUCGAACGGUAAGGCCCUUCGGGGUACACGAGUGGCGAACGGGUGAGUAACACGUGGGUAAUCUGCCCUGCACUUCGGGAUAAGCCUGGGAAACUGGGUCUAAUACCGGAUAUGAGCUCCUGCCGCAUGGUGGGGGUUGGAAAGUUUUUCGGUGCAGGAUGAGUCCGCGGCCUAUCAGCUUGUUGGUGGGGUAAUGGCCUACCAAGGCGACGACGGGUAGCCGGCCUGAGAGGGUGAUCGGCCACACUGGGACUGAGACACGGCCCAGACUCCUACGGGAGGCAGCAGUGGGGAAUAUUGCACAAUGGGCGGAAGCCUGAUGCAGCGACGCCGCGUGGGGGAUGACGGUCUUCGGAUUGUAAACUCCUUUCAGUAGGGACGAAGCGAGAGUGACGGUACCUGCAGAAGAAGCACCGGCCAACUACGUGCCAGCAGCCGCGGUAAUACGUAGGGUGCAAGCGUUGUCCGGAAUUACUGGGCGUAAAGAGCUCGUAGGCGGUUUGUCACGUCGUCUGUGAAAUCCUCCAGCUCAACUGGGGGCGUGCAGGCGAUACGGGCAGACUUGAGUACUACAGGGGAGACUGGAAUUCCUGGUGUAGCGGUGAAAUGCGCAGAUAUCAGGAGGAACACCGGUGGCGAAGGCGGGUCUCUGGGUAGUAACUGACGCUGAGGAGCGAAAGCAUGGGGAGCGAACAGGAUUAGAUACCCUGGUAGUCCAUGCCGUAAACGGUGGGCGCUAGGUGUGGGGUCCUUCCACGGAUUCCGUGCCGUAGCUAA
Molecule: ribosomal RNA, 781 nt
Filed under: Dietzia psychralcaliphila
Lineage: Bacteria; Bacillati; Actinomycetota; Actinomycetes; Mycobacteriales; Dietziaceae
Description: bacterial SSU rRNA
Rfam family: Bacterial small subunit ribosomal RNA
Source: RNAcentral